Salvelinus fontinalis (brook trout) is the source of this 74-nucleotide non-coding RNA. The record is from the annotation of a RefSeq genome assembly. Lineage: Eukaryota; Metazoa; Chordata; Actinopteri; Salmoniformes; Salmonidae.
GGAUGUAUGGCUCAGCUGGUAGAGCGUGGUGCUUACAACGUCAAGGUUGUGGGUUCGAUUCCCCCGACCAUCCA